GUCUACGGCCAUGCCACCCUGAACAUGCCCAAUGUCUGAUCUUGGAAGCUAAGCAGGGCGGGCCUGGUUAGUACAUGGAUGGGAGACCACCUAGGAAGACUAGGUGCUGUAGGCA
This 115-nucleotide ribosomal RNA is filed under the name Pteropus alecto (black flying fox). The record is from RNAcentral. Lineage: Eukaryota; Metazoa; Chordata; Mammalia; Chiroptera; Pteropodidae.